Non-coding RNA from Chlorocebus sabaeus (green monkey), 1697 nucleotides. Lineage: Eukaryota; Metazoa; Chordata; Mammalia; Primates; Cercopithecidae. The record is from RefSeq and is a predicted model, not a curated record.
CUUUGUAUGUCUUAUUAUUUUAUUUAAUUGAGUAUUUAUUGGGAGAAAAGCUGAGCGUUGGGAGAGAAGCUGAGGCAGGCCUUCCAUGUCUGCUAGACUUGCUGGCUCCUUGCUUUUAGCACUCCCGUUAUUUCAGGCAGUCGUAUGUUUCUCAUUCACUUGAUACACUGUUUAUUUCAACACGCACAUCCUCACCACCUGUUUGUUUGUUUAUUUCAGCACCAAUAAAUAGCAUGGGCUCCCAGAGCUCAGAGCCUUCACAGCCUGCACACUCGGGAUGGCCACCAGGUUCCACUUUCUCUCUCAAACUGUCUUUUUCUCAUUCCUUUGACUCUGCCAGACUUCGUCAACCCCAUGAACUGGUGUUGAGUCUGAUCAUCCCAACAUUCCUGGCUACCUAAUGUGGGGUGAUGAAGACCCUGGUGAAGGAAAGCUAGAGCAUAUGAAAGCAGAGGAUGCAUCAUCAAAGGACACCCGAGGAGGUCUAAAAGAAGCUCAGCAGGAAAGCUGAGCACUCGGAAGAACCAGGGUAACAAUGGGACAAAGUGAAAGCAGACAUUCUGCCUAUUUAAAUUUCUUAAGGCGUUUAUUACAAAAAGUGGGAGUGAAGGUGACAAUCAGUUACCUGUGUGGGUGCCCACCGAACAUCUGAAGAUCUAUUAUGAACCCCAGCAUCUAGUGGACCCACCUGUACAGUGCAAAUUGAAGGGUUAAGGAUUACUUUUAAGCAUCGAUUUGCUCUCUCUGUGCCUUCUGUUAGAAGCGGACUUUUCCUCGUUAUCAAUUGUAAGUUUUACCCCACAGUAAUUAACCAAAGAGGCAGACGCUGAGUUACCAAUGCUUCAGCAAUAGCAUGUCUCCCAGCUACAGCCACAGAAGUUUUUGCUUCUGUUUCAGUAGAUUUACUAACAUGGAGGUGAGGGUAUGCUUGUAUUUUUGCAGGAGAUGAACAAACCAUGUAGGUACCCUCAAGAUGUGUACAACCAUGGACUGGGUUGCCCCAGUAUAAGCCAUGCUGAGAAACUGCUGGAUUGCCAAGGUUUUACCUAUAGAUGCUUAAAGGACCAGUGCUUUCUGACUGAACUCCUCUCUAUCCUGAAUACAAGAGACCCUAAUAGUUAGGCAGGAGUAUCAUUACCCCUACUCAGCAUGAAGAUGUUACAGAAGACGGACCUUCAUCCUUCUGCAACCCCUAGGAUUAAGGGUCCUCUUGUAAAAGGGAAAGGGGGAAUAUGUGAGAAGCCUUCAACCCAGAGCAACUCUAUUUUGAAUAAGGGCUAAGAAAAAUGAAGCUGGAUCACUAAACAGCAAUUAAGUGCUGCACAGCCUGCAAUUGCCUUGCUCAGUUAAUUUAAAAAAAGAGGCCACCUUAUGGUAAUAAUAAUGAAAGCUAUAGCAGUUUUUACAAAAAAGAGAAGCGGGGCAUGUUGGGAGAAAAGCUGAGUGUUUGGAGAGAAGCUGAGCCAGGGCUUGCAGGUCUGCUAGACUUGCCGGCUCCUUGCUUCUAGCAUUCCCGUUAUCUCAAGCAGUCAUAUGUUUCUCAUUCACUUGAUACACUGUUUCUUUUCAACCCCCGCAUCCUCACCACCUGUUUGUUUGUUUGUUUGAGCACCAAUAAAUAGCAUGGGCUCCCAGAGCUCAGGGCCUUGGCAGCCUCCACACUCACGAUGGCCCCCAGGUCCCACUUUCUCUCUCAA